UACGUAGGUGGCAAGCGUUGUCCGGAAUUAUUGGGCGUAAGCGCGCGCAGGUGGUUCCUUAAGUCUGAUGUGAAAGCCCACGGCUCAACCGUGGAGGGUCAUUGGAAACUGGGGGACUUGAGUGCAGAAGAGGAAAGUGGAAUUCCAAGUGUAGCGGUGAAAUGCGGUAGAGAUUUGGAGGAACACCAGUGGCGAAGGCGACUUUCUGGUCUGUAACUGACACUGAGGCGCGAAAGCGUGGGGAGCAAACAGG
RNAcentral lists this ribosomal RNA (253 nucleotides) under uncultured bacterium. RNAcentral's name for it is "partial 16S ribosomal RNA". It matches the Rfam family "Bacterial small subunit ribosomal RNA", at positions 524 to 776 of the family's 1533-position model. The record is from RNAcentral.